This 314-nucleotide ribosomal RNA is filed under the name uncultured bacterium. RNAcentral's name for it is "partial 16S ribosomal RNA". It matches the Rfam family "Bacterial small subunit ribosomal RNA", at positions 499 to 807 of the family's 1533-position model. The record is from RNAcentral.
UUAUAAGAGACAGCAGUCGCCGCGGUAAUACAGAGGGUGCGAGCGUUAAUCGGAUUUACUGGGCGUAAAGCGUGCGUAGGCGGCUUUUUAAGUCGGAUGUGAAAUCCCUGAGCUUAACUUAGGAAUUGCAUUCGAUACUGGGAAGCUAGAGUAUGGGAGAGGAUGGUAGAAUUCCAGGUGUAGCGGUGAAAUGCGUAGAGAUCUGGAGGAAUACCGAUGGCGAAGGCAGCCAUCUGGCCUAAUACUGACGCUGAGGUACGAAAGCAUGGGGAGCAAACAGGAUUAGAGACCCCCGUAGUCCCUGUCUCUUAUAC